Molecule: ribosomal RNA, 433 nt
Filed under: uncultured bacterium
Lineage: Bacteria
Description: partial 16S ribosomal RNA
Rfam family: Bacterial small subunit ribosomal RNA
Source: RNAcentral
AACGAACGCUGGCGGAAGGAAGAACAAAGGCAAGUCGAACGAGACCUUCGGGUCUAGUGGCGCACGGGUGCGUAACGCGUGGGAACCUGCCCUUAGGUUCGGAAUAACUCCCCGAAAGGGGUGCUAAUACCGGAUAAUGUCUUCGGACCAAAGAUUUAUCGCCUUUGGAUGGGCCCGCGUUGGAUUAGCUAGUUGGUAGGGUAAAAGCCUACCAAGGCGACGAUCCAUAGCUGGUCUGAGAGGAUGAUCAGCCACACUGGGACUGAGACACGGCCCAGACUCCUACGGGAGGCAGCAGUGGGGAAUAUUGGACAAUGGGCGAAAGCCUGAUCCAGCAAUGCCGCGUGCGUGCUGCCGGCCUUAGGGUUGUAAAGCUCUUUUACCCGGGAUGAUAAUGACAGUACCGGGAGACUAAGCUCCGGCUCCCUCCGUC